GUGGGGAAUCUUGCGCAAUGGGCGAAAGCCUGACGCAGCCAUGCCGCGUGAAUGAUGAAGGUCUUAGGAUUGUAAAAUUCUUUCACCGGGGACGAUAAUGACGGUACCCGGAGAAGAAGCCCCGGCUAACUUCGUGCCAGCAGCCGCGGUAAUACGAAGGGGGCUAGCGUUGCUCGGAAUUACUGGGCGUAAAGGGCGCGUAGGCGGACAGUUUAGUCAGAGGUGAAAGCCAAGGGCUCAACCUUGGAAUUGCCUUUGAUACUGGCUGUCUUGAGUACGGGAGAGGUGAGUGGAACUCCGAGUGUAGAGGUGAAAUUCGUAGAUAUUCGGAAGAACACCAGUGGCGAAGGCGACUCACUGGCCCGUUACUGACGCUGAGGCGCGAAAGCGUGGGGAGCAAACAGGAUUAGAAACCCGAGUAGUCC
Molecule: ribosomal RNA, 425 nt
Filed under: uncultured bacterium
Lineage: Bacteria
Description: partial 16S ribosomal RNA
Rfam family: Bacterial small subunit ribosomal RNA
Source: RNAcentral